This 468-nucleotide ribosomal RNA is filed under the name uncultured bacterium. RNAcentral's name for it is "partial 16S ribosomal RNA". It matches the Rfam family "Bacterial small subunit ribosomal RNA", at positions 28 to 507 of the family's 1533-position model. The record is from RNAcentral.
GACGAACGCUGGCGGCGUGCUUAACACAUGCAAGUCGAACGGAAAGGCCCUGCUUUUGUGUGGUGCUCGAGUGGCGAACGGGUGAGUAACACGUGAGUAACCUGCCCUUGACUUUGGGAUAACUUCUGGAAACUGGGGCUAAUACCGGAUACGAGCUCCUGCGGCAUGUUGGGGGGUGGAAAGUUUCGGCGGUUGGGGAUGGACUCGCGGCUUAUCAGCUUGUUGGUGGGGUAGUGGCUUACCAAGGCUUUGACGGGUAGCCGGCCUGAGAGGGUGACCGGCCACAUUGGGACUGAGAUACGGCCCAGACUCCUACGGGAGGCAGCAGUGGGGAAUAUUGCACAAUGGGCGGAAGCCUGAUGCAGCAACGCCGCGUGCGGGAUGACGGCCUUCGGGUUGUAAACCGCUUUUGCCUGGGAAGAAGCGAGAGUGACGGUAACUGGUAAAGAAGCACCGGCUAACUACGUG